CCUACGGGUGGCAGCAGUGAGGAAUAUUGGUCAAUGGGCGAGAGCCUGAACCAGCCAAGUCGCGUGAAGGAUGACGGCCCUACGGGUUGUAAACUUCUUUUGUCAGGGAGCAAUAGGGUCCACGCGUGGGCUUAGCGAGAGUACCUGAAGUAAAAGCAUCGGCUAACUCCGUGCCAGCAGCCCCGGUAAUACGGGGGUUGCGAGCGUAAUCCGGUUUUAUUGGGUUUAAAGGGUCCGUAGGCGGAAUAUCAAGUCAGCGGUAAAAGUUCGGGGCUCAACCCCGCCGUGCCGUUGAAACUGGUGUUCUUGAGUGGACGAGAGGUGUGCGGAAUGCGAGGUGUAGCGGUGAAAUGCAUAGAUAUCACGAAGAACUCCGAUUGCGAAGGCAGCUUACCGGCGUCCAACUGACGCUGAGGCACGAAAGCGUGGGUAUCGAACAGGAUUAGAUACCCCUGUAGUC
RNAcentral lists this ribosomal RNA (460 nucleotides) under uncultured bacterium. RNAcentral's name for it is "partial 16S ribosomal RNA". It matches the Rfam family "Bacterial small subunit ribosomal RNA", at positions 338 to 795 of the family's 1533-position model. The record is from RNAcentral.